Molecule: long non-coding RNA, 647 nt
Filed under: Equus caballus (horse)
Lineage: Eukaryota; Metazoa; Chordata; Mammalia; Perissodactyla; Equidae
Description: lncRNA (ENSECAG00000059954.1)
Source: RNAcentral
GGAAACCAUAGCAACGAGCAGCUAGAAGACGCCGGCCAUUCAUCUCCCUUUUGUUCCUUGCCUUGCAUGUGGACUCUCCAAUUACAGACGCCGGAUGGUUUAGGAGACGCACACCUGGAGCUCAGGGGAGCAGCCCGCAGGGCAGCUUCCAGGUGGUGCCCAUCCUUCCAUGGACUACAAUCUGAGCAGCCAGAAGACUAGAAGAUUUGCUCAAGAAAAUCUAGCUAGUCAUAAUGGGCAGAACAUGACUUUGAACUCAGAUCAACAUGUCCAUAUCCCCUUGGCAACUGCUGCUCCAACAUGCGCAAUGGGGGUUCUCCUGUAAGCACACCCAGUCUCCUCCCGAGGGCCUUCUCCCUGCCCACUCAGGACACGCUGGAAGUUCUGGCAGUUACUGCCUCAACAGCAGCAAUUACCCAAUGAUGGGUGGGAGCUGGAAGGCAAAUACCCCAGCUUUUUUACCUCUUCAGUGGGAUAACCCUGAGCUAUCUUCUACAACAUCUCCCAGAAGUCCCCAGUGAGACUGCAUUCCAGUUGCUCACAGUGUUAACUUGCUCAAUAAAACCUUUUCUUGGCUUUUUCUCCUUUUCUCUGUCACUUCCCCACUCUCCUACUAGUAGUUCUUGAGAUGAGCUACCAAAUAAAUU